AAUCUCUGCUUUAGGAAAGGGACAAUGCAAUGCAAUGCUUCUUGCUUUGCGACUGUUCUCCUGGAUGCAAGACCGACGACUGCCGACCGACUGUUCUCACUCACCUUAACGAGACACACGAAAACAUGUUUAAAUCCAUGUCUAAAACGUCCUUCCUGUGCCCUUUUACACGAGUCUCUUUGGCCCCUCUUGGAAACAGCUGAAAAGGGAGAACGCUGCCUCCUCAGUCUGUUUGCUGCCCUAGGUUUGCUGUCUUUUAAAACAAGAACCCUCUGUCUCCCUGCCCUCACACAGGUGAUUGCAGCCUCAUGUUAAGUGUAACCAUCUGCACAGUGAGCUCGGGGCAGGAGGCAUCGUGGAGACGGCGGCUGACUUAGCCUCUCGAGCUGACAAAGAUCGACUUCGGGAGAGGUGGUGAUGAAUCAUAAACGCUGCCCAGCAGGGGAGUCAGAAGAAUUGCAUUGUCCAAGGAGAGCCUUUCUUUGUGUCUCUAAUAUUUAAGCCGAUGGCUUUAAGAGAAAUUUAUGAUCAGCCAUGAUUGGAGCUACUACCCAUGGACAUCUGUUAGACAGGCAGUAGAUGGUUUGCUAAUAGAAAUAUUUAUAAAUUGAGCUAUAUUAAAUUGUGUCUUGAGAAGGAACCAGCUUUAAAGUUUUUUCCUGAUUUUCUUGGCCGCGUUCUUUCACGGUUCUGAGGCACUGCAAUGGGGCUGGAUUCAAGACUCUUCAGUGACACUCAUGGGGAGUGACAGAGGUGCUGAGUGGCAGCUGUAAUCUCUCCAGUUUGAGAAAGUUGAGGAAGAAGGAAAUCGAUAGUUGGCCCAGAGUUUUC
This 831-nucleotide long non-coding RNA is filed under the name Equus caballus (horse). Its description in RNAcentral is "lncRNA (ENSECAG00000049765.1)". The record is from RNAcentral. Lineage: Eukaryota; Metazoa; Chordata; Mammalia; Perissodactyla; Equidae.